UCGCCAGGGAACUACGAGCAAAGCUUAAAACCCAAAGGACUUGACGGUACCCCAUAUCCACCUAGAGGAGCCUGUCCUAUAAUCGAUAAUCCCCGCUAAACCUCACCAUUUCUAGCUAGUCAGCCUGUAUACCUCCGUCGUCAGCUUACCACGUGAGCGUCACCCAGUGAGCCUAAUGUUCUUACACCAACACGUCAGGUCAAGGUGCAGUAAAUGAAAUGGGAAGAGAUGGGCUACACUUUCUAAUCUAGAACACACGAAAGACUAUUUAUGAAACCUAGUCGGAAGGCGGAUUUAGAAGUAAAAAAAGAUCAUAAAACUCUUUUUAACCCGGCACUGGGGUGUGU
Molecule: ribosomal RNA, 347 nt
Filed under: Dryophytes cinereus (green tree frog)
Lineage: Eukaryota; Metazoa; Chordata; Amphibia; Anura; Hylidae
Description: partial 12S ribosomal RNA
Rfam family: Bacterial small subunit ribosomal RNA
Source: RNAcentral